GAGCGCGUAGCUCAGCGGGAGAGCGCCACCUUGACACGGUGGAGGUCGCUGGUUCAAUCCCAGUCGUGCUCA
Molecule: transfer RNA, 72 nt
Filed under: Corynebacterium sp.
Lineage: Bacteria; Bacillati; Actinomycetota; Actinomycetes; Mycobacteriales; Corynebacteriaceae
Description: tRNA-Val
Rfam family: tRNA
About the family: Transfer RNA (tRNA) molecules are approximately 80 nucleotides in length. Their secondary structure includes four short double-helical elements and three loops (D, anti-codon, and T loops). Further hydrogen bonds mediate the characteristic L-shaped molecular structure. tRNAs have two regions of fundamental functional importance: the anti-codon, which is responsible for specific mRNA codon recognition, and the 3' end, to which the tRNAs corresponding amino acid is attached (by aminoacyl-tRNA synthetases). tRNAs cope with the degeneracy of the genetic code in two manners: having more than one tRNA (with a specific anti-codon) for a particular amino acid; and 'wobble' base-pairing, i.e. permitting non-standard base-pairing at the 3rd anti-codon position.
Source: RNAcentral